GAAGUGGCCGUGGGUUCCCAUUCUGACACAUGAGAGGGAAGAGAAGCUGACACUGCCUCUCCCUCACUUCCUGCCUAGAAUGUGGAAGUGAUGCUCAGUGCAAACCAAGUUAUGAAAGAGCAGAGGGAGCAGAAAGGGAAGAGUCUCUUCACAGAGAAGAUCAGAGAGACCAGGAGGAGGCCACAUGGCCUCUGAGAGAAGCCGGGGUGAAGACCGAGGCCUGGAGCAGCCCAGACUUGUCACGCCAUCUUCUGGAACAUCACCCUGACUCCCCAAACCCUGAGCUCCAGCCCGAGUAUCUUGCGACUCCGUUACCUGCCGUCACGGUCGGAGGUGCCUGUUCUGGCCAAGGUGUUCCGUGCGCCCCGACAAGACUGUUUGAACUAGGUUGGCAUCUGUCACGGUACAAAGCGUCCCUCCCGUUCUGGCCUGCCCCACACGGAGCUCCUACUUCCCUCCAGGGCCCAGGUCAAGCUGUCGCCUGCUCUGAGAAACUGCCUGAUCCCCACUCAGACCCGAGCUCAGUUGCACAUGGCUCCACUAUCAGUUCUCACGCUG
RNAcentral lists this long non-coding RNA (558 nucleotides) under Heterocephalus glaber (naked mole-rat). RNAcentral describes it as "lncRNA (ENSHGLG00000050235.1)". The record is from RNAcentral. Lineage: Eukaryota; Metazoa; Chordata; Mammalia; Rodentia; Bathyergidae.